GCAGAGGCAACCCCCAUGGGACUGAGUUCCCCUAAUGGCCAGUAAUAAAGCCACCUCAAGCCAGGCCAUAAUGCUGCAAGUCCCUUGGCUUCUGAGCGAGUGAGGGAAGCUGAGGUGCUCGUGGGGCCUUCCGACUGAAUGGCACUCCUCUCUGCCAAGCUUUGUUAGCCGGCAGCCAGGAACAGACUCCAACAGCUAGCACGGACCUCAGCUGUGCUUCUAUGUGGUGGUCUAAGUUGCUGACCGGGAGUGGACAUGUGCUUUGGGAGCCAGAUACACGGAGGGUUUUCGGGGUGGAAGAAGACAUACAAAGUUGUCUCACGCAUUUUUUAAAAAGCUCUGAGCACAAUGUUAAGCACUUCACAGACGGAUGGUGGUUGCAAUUUUUGUCAUCAUGUCAGUAGUUCAGCGGGAGCCGGGGUUCCUGGCCCGUGAACUCAGCCGGGACUCGGAGGCGUUGGACUCUCUGCUAGAAAAGCAGCGGCUGAUGAACCAGUCAUACACGGGCUCUUAAAACAACGAACGGGGACCAAGUAAUGAUCUUUAACUAGUGAUGGUAAAAUUUACGAGGACCAAACAGCUCCAAACACAAAGGAACGAGUUGAAGGAACUAGGAGAGCUUAAAUUUCUAGUGUGUUUUUACGUCAUCAUUAGUAUGAAUAUUAGCGCAAGCUUAUGAGUGGUGUUAGCUAAGCUCUUAGAAAUCUCUCAAGCUUUUAUGAAGACUGCAGGGCAAGAGAGAAUGCAUUUCAAAACUGAUAGAAAUGGUAAUAAGGCUACUGCCAAUCUCCUACGUGCUGGACAGCUCUCACACUUGCUUCUUGAGAACAUGUGCCUGUCUUCUGGGAAUUAGAGUACUUCGUUAUCUUCCUGAUGUUUUCAUCCCCCCUCCCGCCCUCUUUGCCAAAGAUUACCACCAAGAAUAUGAUGGAAAGUUUCCUGCAUUAAAAAGAGAGGCUACACUGCUGUCAUGAUUCCAGGCAGCUGCACCCAGCCAAGAAGUCGCCUAAAUGUUUAAUGAAGCAGGAAAGUCAUUCUUCAGUUUGAAAUGCAGACCCACUAGAUGGUCUGAAAAGAUCACCUCUGUUUGUUUUAUACUGGGAAUAGAUUGCUGAAUAUUUAAUGAGCACCAGAGGAUACAGCUCUGUGAGAGGCCAGCAAGGGUCAAGCUAUGGCUACCUGCUGUUCCCCUGCAAUUCCGUGUCUCUCCGGUUUCUUAAAGGUGGGAGAUUAUCAGGGUUAAACCAAGCCAGUCUUGAUUUAGCACUGUGUAGCACUGUGUAGCACUGUGUACGUGGAAAGAAAAAUAGAGGCGGUCAUAUGCCUGUCCUGGUGAAGCAGUGUUCAGAAUUAGAAGCAACCUUUCAAGAAAAUUGACGAGAAGGCCUGGCAUGUAUUGUCUUAUUCACAAAGGUGGGUUAGAACAACAGUAUCAGGAAAGAGAAGCCAUCAAAAAUCCCCGUUGUAAUUAUGCUGGGAGAGAGAGCUUCCACCCAGUUGAUUCUGCCAUUUAUUUGUGGUAUUAAGGACCCUCUCCUAUCUGAAUAAUCCCAAGAAAAGAGUCCUUUUGUGAACAGUUUCCUCCCCACCAGAUUCAGUCUUUAACUGAUUUAGCAUCUGCUGCUAUCAGAUGGGGGAGAGUUAACAGAGACCAGACACGGACGGUAACGGCAGAAAAGAAAUCAAGAGGCAUUUGCGGAUUGACUGGAUGUAGAACAUAAAUUUUUUUCUUUAAAGCCUUGAAGACGACUCUUAAGAUUUUGGGCAGGCCAUUUGUUGAAACAGCCAUGGAAAUAGGAAAGCCUUUUUAAGUGGAAAAUCAAGAGUAUAGUUUGAAACAACGUUAAAUUUGAAAUGCGCUUUCAACAAUCAAACCCAAAUGUCUGCUAGGCAGUUGGCUAUCCUGAGCUGCCAUUCUGAGUUGAGAUUCUUGGGAUCCACUGUUGUAGCGAGAGAAUAUAAUUAAAUCACCCAGGAAAUGAAGGUAAAGAGUAGAAGAGUUCUGAAGACAGAGCCCUGAGGCACUCCAACGUUUAGCGGUCAGGAAGCUUUAAAAAAAUCCUCAAAGGAGAUCGCAGAGGGGCCCCUAUAUAGGAAGACAAACAAGAGAAGGGCCCAGGGAAAGUCAAGUGAAUAAAAUGUCUCAAAGAGUAA
Molecule: long non-coding RNA, 2154 nt
Organism: Manis pentadactyla (Chinese pangolin)
Lineage: Eukaryota; Metazoa; Chordata; Mammalia; Pholidota; Manidae
Exons: 2
Source: RefSeq, a predicted model, not a curated record